This 520-nucleotide ribosomal RNA is filed under the name uncultured bacterium. RNAcentral's name for it is "bacterial SSU rRNA". It matches the Rfam family "Bacterial small subunit ribosomal RNA", at positions 777 to 1297 of the family's 1533-position model. The record is from RNAcentral.
AAUAGAUACCCAGGUAGUCCACGCCGUAAACGAUGUCGACUUGGAGGUUGUGCCCUUGAGGCGUGGCUUCCGGAGCCAACGCGUUAAGUCGACCGCCUGGGGAGUACGGCCGCAAGGUUAAAACUCAAAUGAAUUGACGGGGGCCCGCACAAGCGGUGGAGCAUGUGGUUUAAUUCGAUGCAACGCGAAGAACCUUACCUACUCUUGACAUCCAGAGAACUUGGCAGAGAUGCCUUGGUGCCUUCGGGAACUCUGAGACAGGUGCUGCAUGGCUGUCGUCAGCUCGUGUUGUGAAAUGUUGGGUUAAGUCCCGCAACGAGCGCAACCCUUAUCCUUUGUUGCCAGCGGUCCGGCCGGGAACUCAAAGGAGACUGCCAGUGAUAAACUGGAGGAAGGUGGGGAUGACGUCAAGUCAUCAUGGCCCUUACGAGUAGGGCUACACACGUGCUACAAUGGCGCAUACAAAGAGAAGCGACCUCGCGAGAGCAAGCGGACCUCAUAAAGUGCGUCGUAGUCCGGA